GAUGAACGCUAGCGGCAGGCCUAACACAUGCAAGUCGAGGGGUAGAAGGAGCUUGCUUCUUUGAGACCGGCGCACGGGUGCGUAACGCGUAUGCAAUCUACCUUAUACAGGGGAAUAGCCCAGAGAAAUUUGGAUUAAUGCCCCAUGGUAUUAUAGAAUGGCAUCAUUUUAUAAUUAAAGUUCCAACGGUAUAAGAUGAGCAUGCGUCCCAUUAGUUAGUUGGUAAGGUAACGGCUUACCAAGACUAUGAUGGGUAGGGGUCCUGAGAGGGAGAUCCCCCACACUGGUACUGAGACACGGACCAGACUCCUACGGGAGGCAGCAGUGAGGAAUAUUGGUCAAUGGACGCAAGUCUGAACCAGCCAUGCCGCGUGCAGGAAGAAGCAUCUAUGGUGUGUAAACUGCUUUUAUACAGGAAGAAACAACGCUACGUGUAGCGUCUUGACGGUACUGUAAGAAUAAGGACCGGCUAACUCCGUG
RNAcentral lists this ribosomal RNA (480 nucleotides) under uncultured bacterium. Its description in RNAcentral is "bacterial SSU rRNA". It matches the Rfam family "Bacterial small subunit ribosomal RNA", at positions 28 to 507 of the family's 1533-position model. The record is from RNAcentral.